GCUGCUUCUGCUCCUCCGGCAGGCUCCGGCCGCCGCCGUCACCUGGCAAUCACCGCCCAGGCCACGCCCAUCACCUUCUGCCGAGGGGGAAGGGCAAAGGGGCGUGGCCUCUGUAGACUGGCCGAGGUGCUCUGGCCUCUUAGGCUUCUGAGCCGCCCCGUGUCUGGUGGCAGCGAAGGGCAGCUUGCUGGGGCGUCCUUGGCCUUUCCUGCAUGGUAGCUGGGGGACUGUGCACCAAGCCCAGGACAUUUACCCUCCCUCACAGCCUGUGGAGGUAGCCAUGCUUCUGCAGAAGGUCCCGCAAAGGACUAUACUUGCGGACUCGGUACUCAUCUAAUUACCUUAAUGUUGUGCAGUGCGGGGCUGAAGAGGCAUCAGAAGAAGGGCAGAGCGAGCCAGAUGCGCGUUCCUCAUCGCCGGUGGACACUUGGCUCCUCCUGGCCAAAGGACAGAACAUUCUGCUUUACCACCAAGUGCCUGUUUCAGCCAGUAGGCUCAUUACUGAUAGACUUGGGGGCUGCUGUUACAGCAAGUGGCAGGCCCUUUCUGGAGAAGGAUGUCCCAUCUCUGGGAAACUCAGGACUCAGACACGCUGUUCAUUAUUGUCGAAGAGUUUUGCUGCUGUCGGAACCUGCUGUUCAGAGACAGAUAAUGCCUUUCUCUAGCAGAUGUUUGACUGAGUGGAGAGAGGAGAUAAUAGUAAGUGGAUGUGAGGAGGAGGGCUGACUCGGAUUUAUACCACCAUCACUUUUAAAGAGUUAAUUUUUCAGAGCUGGGAAGAUGGUUUAGUUGGUAAAACGUUUGCCAUACAAGCAUGAGGAGCCGAGUUCAGAUCUCCAGCACCCAUGUAAAAAGGUAUAUAGUUCAUUUCUGUCAGAUCUAAGUGCCUGAAGACAAAGCAAGGCGGAAGAGGGAGAACAGAGAAGAAGAGAAUUCUUACCAUGGACCGUAAAACAAGCAGUGAAUUCACUAACAUCUGUGGUCUCAUCUUUACGCUUAGAGACCUAACAAUUCAGGGUAUCAUUUCUGACCCCAGCACUGCACAUCUGACUGUCCUACCCAUGAAGCCCAAAUGUACAGGUUGAGGGGAGAGCAUCAGUGAGAAACUGUGAGCAGCCGGGGACUCUGAGAUGUAGAAAGUGUGGACUCAGGAAAGAGUCAGGGGGCAGAUUUUAGCCCCCAUAUGGUUUAGCCUAGUGACACAGAAUGCCGUUGGAUAAUAGGCACACCCCUAUGGAAGAGUCUCUACCUCCAGGUCAUCAUCAGCCUUUACUUCAGUACCUGUCCCUGUGUGGAGUAUUGUUGGAGUUCCAGGCGGACUCGAAAACUUAAAACAUGAAACACAUCCAGGAACGAAUAUCAGUCAUUUAUUCCUUCAAGAGGGAACAAAACAUCUGCAACUCCGGGAAGUCAAGUCCUGCCGUCUGAGUUGUUUGCAAAUGGACGUACUAAGUGCUGGUCACCAUUGUCACAGGAGCCCUUGUCUCUCCCGUCAGUAGUGCUGCUUGAGGAGAAAAAGAGCAUUUCCCAGGUCUGCCUUGUCAUUUCCAGGAAAGUCAGCCAGCAGGUUUGGGUUCAAACUUCUUCAUGAAGCCAUCUUCCUGUGAGAAGAAAGUGCAGACUGAAGACUCAGUGAGAUACUCUCACCACGAGUAGUCAUUUCAUUCUCCCCAUUGUUCUCUACUCCAAAGCCAAAUCCCUUUAGAAUAUAGCCACCCAAUAGAAAUACAGCUGAGCUACAUAUGUUAGCUUCAAGGGAUUUUGCAGCCAUAUAUUAAGAAGUGUCUUUGUCAGUCUUCUAUUGCUGUGAAGAGACACCAUGACCAAGGUAGUUCUUAAUUUAACUGGAGGCUAGCUUAUAGUUUCAGAGGCUUAGUCCAUUAUCAUCAUGGCAGGAAGCAAGGGGCACGCAGGCAGGUAAGAACUAAGGUGGCAUGCAGUAGCUGCUAAGAGCUACAUUCUGAUCUGAUCCAUAAGCAGAGAGAGAGACAGACUCUGGGGUUGGCAUGACAUACUUCCUCCAACAAG
Long non-coding RNA from Peromyscus leucopus (white-footed mouse), 2028 nucleotides. RefSeq lists it as uncharacterized. The record is from RefSeq and is a predicted model, not a curated record. Lineage: Eukaryota; Metazoa; Chordata; Mammalia; Rodentia; Cricetidae. The transcript has 2 exons.